AAUAAGAAAGUUACUAAGGGCGCAUGGCGGAUGCCUAGGCUCUCAGAGGCGAAGAAGGACGUGAUAAGCUGCGAAAAGCUUUGGGGAGGCGCACAUAGCUAUUGAUCCAAAGAUGUCCGAAUGGGGCAACCCAUCAUGCUGAAGGCAUGAUAUCCCGCAAGGGAGGCAAACCCGGAGAACUGAAACAUCUAAGUACCCGGAGGAGAAGAAAACAACAGUGAUUCCGCAAGUAGUGGCGAGCGAACGCGGAGAAGCCCAAACCCACAUAGUUACGGCUAGGUGGGGGUUAUAGGACCCUAACAGCUGCUUACAGACGGAACUGGAAUGAUCUGGGAAGGUCAACCAUAGGGGGUGAGAGUCCCGUACAGGUAAAAGAUGUAAGUGGUAGGGGUAUCCUGAGUAGGUCGGGGCCAGAGGAACCCUGAUUGAAUUUGCCGGUACCAUCCGGUAAGGCUAAAUACUCCUGAGAGACCGAUAGUGAACAAGUACCGUGAGGGAAAGGUGAAAAGUACCCUGAAUAAGGGGGUGAAAAGACCCUGAAACCAUGCGCUUACAAGCGGUCGGAGCUCCGAUUUAUCGGGGUGACGGCGUGCCUUUUGCAUAAUGAGCCUACGAGUUACACCUAUUUGGCAAGGUUAAUCCUGUAGACAGGAGCAGCCGCAGCGAAAGCGAGUCUGAACAGGGCGCCAUAGUCAGGUGGGGUAGACGCGAAACUUGGUGAUCUACCCAUGGCCAGGUUGAAGCUCCGGUAACACGGGGUGGAGGACCGAACCCGUUGACGUUGAAAAGUCUUGGGAUGAGCUGUGGGUAGGGGUGAAAGGCCAAUCAAACUGAGAAAUAGCUCGUACUCUCCGAAAUGUUUUUAGGAACAGCCUGGGAGGAUGUCUGCUAGAGGUAGAGCUACCAAUAGGACUAGGGGGAGUCACAUCCUACCAAAUCCUGAUGAACUCCGAAUGCUAGUAGAUUACUCCUGGAGUGAGGGCUAGGGUGCUAAGGUCCUGGUCCGAGAGGGAAAGAACCCAGACCGUCAGCUAAGGUCCCAAAAUAUAUGCUAAGUUGAACUAAGGAGGUCCAGUUGCAGAGACAGCCAGGAGGUUGGCUUGGAAGCAGCCAUUCCUUCAAAGAGUGCGUAACAGCUCACUGGUCGAGCGACAGGGCAUCGAUAAUAAUCGGGCAUAAAGCAUAUUACCGAAGCUACGGACCCGCAAGGGUGGUAGGAGAGCAUUCCAAUGGCGGCGAAGGCGUGUCGUGAGGCAUGUUGGAGCGAUUGGAAAAGAAAAUGUAGGCAUAAGUAACGAUAAGGCGGGUGCGAAACCCGCCCACCGCAAGACUAAGGUUUCCUGAUCAACGCUAAUCGGAUCAGGGUUAGUCGGGGCCUAAGGCGAACCCGAAGGGGGUAGUCGAUGGAUAACGGGUUAAUAUUCCCGUACUGGCUUUAUAGAGUGAUGUGGAGACGAAGAGGCGUAAGCUCUGCGAACUGACGGAAUAGUUCGUUGAAGACCGUAGGUAUAUUUAGAGUAGGCAAAUCCGCUUUGAAUGCUGAAAGUUGACAGUACUACAAUGCUUCGGCAGCGUAGAUAAUGAGCCCAAGCGUACUUCCGAGAAAAUCCGCUAAGCGUUUACUAUAAAGCGACCCGUACCGCAAACCGACACAGGUAGUCGAGGAGAGAAUCCUAAGGUGCUCGAGUGAUUCAUGGCUAAGGAACUAGGCAAAAUGACCCUGUAACUUCGGGAGAAAGGGUGCCUCCCAUGGAGUAGUGUUUACACUCACUUCAUGGAGGCCGCAGUGAAGAGGCCCAAGCGACUGUUUAGCAAAAACACAUGGCUUUGCGAAGUUGAAAGACAACGUAUAAGGCCUGACACCUGCCCGGUGCUGGAAGGUUAAGGGGGGGCGUUAUUGUCUUCGGAUGAGAAGCGCUGAACUGAAGCCCCAGUAAACGGCGGCCGUAACUAUAACGGUCCUAAGGUAGCGAAAUUCCUGUCGGUAAGUUCCGACCUGCACGAAUGGUGCAACGACUUGGGCGCUGUCUCAGCCAUGAGCUCGGUGAAAUUGUAGUAUCGGUGAAGAUGCCGAUUACCCGCAACGGGACGAAAAGACCCCGUGAACCUUUACUAUAGCUUUGCAUUGGCAAUGGGUAAGAGAUGUGUAGGAUAGGUGGGAGACGUUGAAAUGGCCUCGCUAGGGGUUGUGGAGUCGUUGGUGAAAUACCACCCUUCUUUUAUCUGUUGUCUAACCACUACGGUGGGACAUUGCAUGGUGGGUAGUUUGACUGGGGUGGUCGCCUCCUAAAAAGUAACGGAGGCUUUCAAAGGUACCCUCAGCAUGGAUGGUAAUCAUGCGCAGAGUGCAAUAGCAUAAGGGUGCUUGACUGAGAGACCUACAAGUCGAUCAGGUAGGAAACUAGGAUAUAGUGAUCCGGUGGUUCUGUAUGGAUGGGCCAUCGCUCAAAGGAUAAAAGGUACUCCGGGGAUAACAGGCUGAUCUCCCCAAGAGCUCACAUCGACGGGGAGGUUUGGCACCUCGAUGUCGGCUCGUCACAUCCUGGGGCUGGAGAAGGUCCCAAGGGUUGGGCUGUUCGCCCAUUAAAGUGGCACGCGAGCUGGGUUCAGAACGUCGUGAGACAGUUCGGUCUCUAUCUGUUGUGGGCGUUAGAAGCUUGAGAGGAUCUGACCUUAGUACGAGAGGACCGGGUUGGACAAACCGCUGGUGUAUCUGUUGUGCCGCCAGGUGCAGUGCAGAGUAGCUACGUUUGGAAGAGAUAAGCGCUGAAAGCAUCUAAGCGCGAAACUCCCCUCAAGAUGAGGCUUCUUUAUAAGGGUCGUUGUAGAUGACGACGUUGAUAGGCUGCAGGUGUAAAGUCAGAGAUGACAAAGCCGAGCAGUACUAAUUACCCGUAGACUUUCA
This 2905-nucleotide ribosomal RNA is filed under the name Hyphobacterium sp. CCMP332. RNAcentral's name for it is "23S ribosomal RNA". It matches the Rfam family "Bacterial large subunit ribosomal RNA". Lineage: Bacteria; Pseudomonadati; Pseudomonadota; Alphaproteobacteria; Maricaulales; Maricaulaceae. The record is from RNAcentral.